This 429-nucleotide ribosomal RNA is filed under the name Pseudomonadota bacterium. RNAcentral describes it as "Proteobacteria bacterium partial 16S ribosomal RNA". It matches the Rfam family "Bacterial small subunit ribosomal RNA", at positions 355 to 776 of the family's 1533-position model. The record is from RNAcentral. Lineage: Bacteria; Pseudomonadati; Pseudomonadota.
UGGGGAAUAUUGGACAAUGGGCGAAAGCCUGAUCCAGCCAUGCCGCGUGUGUGAAGAAGGUCUUCGGAUUGUAAAGCACUUUAAGUUGGGAGGAAGGGCAGUAAGCGAAUACCUUGCUGUUUUGACGUUACCGACAGAAUAAGCACCGGCUAACUCUGUGCCAGCAGCCGCGGUAAUACAGAGGGUGCAAGCGUUAAUCGGAAUUACUGGGCGUACAGCGCGCGUAGGUGGUUCGUUAAGUUGAAUGUGAAAGCCCCGGGCUCAACCUGGGAACUGCAUCCAAAGCUGGCGAGCUAGAGUAGGGCAGAGGGUGGGGGAAUUUCCUGUGUAGCGGUGAAAUGCGUAGAUAUAGGAAGGAACACCAGUGGCGAAGGCGACCACCUGGGCUCAUACUGACACUGAGGUGCGAAAGCGUGGGGAGCAAACAGG